RNAcentral lists this ribosomal RNA (508 nucleotides) under uncultured bacterium. RNAcentral describes it as "bacterial SSU rRNA". It matches the Rfam family "Bacterial small subunit ribosomal RNA", at positions 9 to 511 of the family's 1533-position model. The record is from RNAcentral.
GAGUUUGAUCAUGGCUCAGAUUGAACGCUGGCGGCAGGCCUAACACAUGCAAGUCGAGCGGUAGAGAGAAGCUUGCUUCUCUUGAGAGCGGCGGACGGGUGAGUAAUGCCUAGGAAUCUGCCUGGUAGUGGGGGAUAACGCUCGGAAACGGACGCUAAUACCGCAUACGUCCUACGGGAGAAAGCAGGGGACCUUCGGGCCUUGCGCUAUCAGAUGAGCCUAGGUCGGAUUAGCUAGUUGGUGAGGUAAUGGCUCGCCAAGGCGACGAUCCGUAACUGGUCUGAGAGGAUGAUCAGUCACACUGGAACUGAGACACGGUCCAGACUCCUACGGGAGGCAGCAGUGGGGAAUAUUGGACAAUGGGCGAAAGCCUGAUCCAGCCAUGCCGCGUGUGUGAAGAAGGUCUUCGGAUCGUAAAGCACUUUAAGUUGGGAGGAAGGGCAGUAAAUUAAUAACUUUGCUGUUUUGACGUUACCGACAGAAUAAGCACCGGCUAACUCUGUGCCAG